Molecule: ribosomal RNA, 2921 nt
Filed under: Staphylococcus aureus
Lineage: Bacteria; Bacillati; Bacillota; Bacilli; Caryophanales; Staphylococcaceae
Description: bacterial LSU rRNA
Rfam family: Bacterial large subunit ribosomal RNA
Source: RNAcentral
UUAAGUUAUUAAGGGCGCACGGUGGAUGCCUUGGCACUAGAAGCCAAUGAAGGACGUUACUAACGACGAUAUGCUUUGGGGAGCUGUAAGUAAGCUUUGAUCCAGAGAUUUCCGAAUGGGGAAACCCAGCAUGAGUUAUGUCAUGUUAUCGAUAUGUGAAUACAUAGCAUAUCAGAAGGCACACCCGGAGAACUGAAACAUCUUAGUACCCGGAGGAAGAGAAAGAAAAUUCGAUUCCCUUAGUAGCGGCGAGCGAAACGGGAAGAGCCCAAACCAACAAGCUUGCUUGUUGGGGUUGUAGGACACUCUAUACGGAGUUACAAAGGACGACAUUAGACGAAUCAUCUGGAAAGAUGAAUCAAAGAAGGUAAUAAUCCUGUAGUCGAAAAUGUUGUCUCUCUUGAGUGGAUCCUGAGUACGACGGAGCACGUGAAAUUCCGUCGGAAUCUGGGAGGACCAUCUCCUAAGGCUAAAUACUCUCUAGUGACCGAUAGUGAACCAGUACCGUGAGGGAAAGGUGAAAAGCACCCCGGAAGGGGAGUGAAAUAGAACCUGAAACCGUGUGCUUACAAGUAGUCAGAGCCCGUUAAUGGGUGAUGGCGUGCCUUUUGUAGAAUGAACCGGCGAGUUACGAUUUGAUGCAAGGUUAAGCAGUAAAUGUGGAGCCGUAGCGAAAGCGAGUCUGAAUAGGGCGUUUAGUAUUUGGUCGUAGACCCGAAACCAGGUGAUCUACCCUUGGUCAGGUUGAAGUUCAGGUAACACUGAAUGGAGGACCGAACCGACUUACGUUGAAAAGUGAGCGGAUGAACUGAGGGUAGCGGAGAAAUUCCAAUCGAACCUGGAGAUAGCUGGUUCUCUCCGAAAUAGCUUUAGGGCUAGCCUCAAGUGAUGAUUAUUGGAGGUAGAGCACUGUUUGGACGAGGGGCCCCUCUCGGGUUACCGAAUUCAGACAAACUCCGAAUGCCAAUUAAUUUAACUUGGGAGUCAGAACAUGGGUGAUAAGGUCCGUGUUCGAAAGGGAAACAGCCCAGACCACCAGCUAAGGUCCCAAAAUAUAUGUUAAGUGGAAAAGGAUGUGGCGUUGCCCAGACAACUAGGAUGUUGGCUUAGAAGCAGCCAUCAUUUAAAGAGUGCGUAAUAGCUCACUAGUCGAGUGACACUGCGCCGAAAAUGUACCGGGGCUAAACAUAUUACCGAAGCUGUGGAUUGUCCUUUGGACAAUGGUAGGAGAGCGUUCUAAGGGCGUUGAAGCAUGAUCGUAAGGACAUGUGGAGCGCUUAGAAGUGAGAAUGCCGGUGUGAGUAGCGAAAGACGGGUGAGAAUCCCGUCCACCGAUUGACUAAGGUUUCCAGAGGAAGGCUCGUCCGCUCUGGGUUAGUCGGGUCCUAAGCUGAGGCCGACAGGCGUAGGCGAUGGAUAACAGGUUGAUAUUCCUGUACCACCUAUAAUCGUUUUAAUCGAUGGGGGGACGCAGUAGGAUAGGCGAAGCGUGCGAUUGGAUUGCACGUCUAAGCAGUAAGGCUGAGUAUUAGGCAAAUCCGGUACUCGUUAAGGCUGAGCUGUGAUGGGGAGAAGACAUUGAGUCUUCGAGUCGUUGAUUUCACACUGCCGAGAAAAGCCUCUAGAUAGAAAAUAGGUGCCCGUACCGCAAACCGACACAGGUAGUCAAGAUGAGAAUUCUAAGGUGAGCGAGCGAACUCUCGUUAAGGAACUCGGCAAAAUGACCCCGUAACUUCGGGAGAAGGGGUGCUCUUUAGGGUUAACGCCCAGAAGAGCCGCAGUGAAUAGGCCCAAGCGACUGUUUAUCAAAAACACAGGUCUCUGCUAAACCGUAAGGUGAUGUAUAGGGGCUGACGCCUGCCCGGUGCUGGAAGGUUAAGAGGAGUGGUUAGCUUCUGCGAAGCUACGAAUCGAAGCCCCAGUAAACGGCGGCCGUAACUAUAACGGUCCUAAGGUAGCGAAAUUCCUUGUCGGGUAAGUUCCGACCCGCACGAAAGGCGUAACGAUUUGGGCACUGUCUCAACGAGAGACUCGGUGAAAUCAUAGUACCUGUGAAGAUGCAGGUUACCCGCGACAGGACGGAAAGACCCCGUGGAGCUUUACUGUAGCCUGAUAUUGAAAUUCGGCACAGCUUGUACAGGAUAGGUAGGAGCCUUUGAAACGUGAGCGCUAGCUUACGUGGAGGCGCUGGUGGGAUACUACCCUAGCUGUGUUGGCUUUCUAACCCGCACCACUUAUCGUGGUGGGAGACAGUGUCAAGCGGGCAGUUUGACUGGGGCGGUCGCCUCCUAAAAGGUAACGGAGGCGCUCAAAGGUUCCCUCAGAAUGGUUGGAAAUCAUUCAUAGAGUGUAAAGGCAUAAGGGAGCUUGACUGCGAGACCUACAAGUCGAGCAGGGUCGAAAGACGGACUUAGUGAUCCGGUGGUUCCGCAUGGAAGGGCCAUCGCUCAACGGAUAAAAGCUACCCCGGGGAUAACAGGCUUAUCUCCCCCAAGAGUUCACAUCGACGGGGAGGUUUGGCACCUCGAUGUCGGCUCAUCGCAUCCUGGGGCUGUAGUCGGUCCCAAGGGUUGGGCUGUUCGCCCAUUAAAGCGGUACGCGAGCUGGGUUCAGAACGUCGUGAGACAGUUCGGUCCCUAUCCGUCGUGGGCGUAGGAAAUUUGAGAGGAGCUGUCCUUAGUACGAGAGGACCGGGAUGGACAUACCUCUGGUGUACCAGUUGUCGUGCCAACGGCAUAGCUGGGUAGCUAUGUGUGGACGGGAUAAGUGCUGAAAGCAUCUAAGCAUGAAGCCCCCCUCAAGAUGAGAUUUCCCAACUUCGGUUAUAAGAUCCCUCAAAGAUGAUGAGGUUAAUAGGUUCGAGGUGGAAGCAUGGUGACAUGUGGAGCUGACGAAUACUAAUCGAUCGAAGACUUAAUCAA